Molecule: ribosomal RNA, 490 nt
Filed under: uncultured bacterium
Lineage: Bacteria
Description: partial 16S ribosomal RNA
Rfam family: Bacterial small subunit ribosomal RNA
Source: RNAcentral
AUUGAACGCUGGCGGCAGGCCUAACACAUGCAAGUCGAACGGUAACAGGAAGAAGCUUGCUUCUUUGCUGACGAGUGGCGGACGGGUGAGUAAUGUCUGUGAAACUGCCUGAUGGAGGGGGAUAACUACUGGAAACGGUAGCUAAUACCGCAUAACGUCGCAAGACCAAAGAGGGGGACCUUCGGGCCUCUUGCCAUCGGAUGUGCCCAGAUGGGAUUAGCUAGUAGGUGGGGUAACGGCUCACCUAGGCGACGAUCCCUAGCUGGUCUGAGAGGAUGACCAGCCACACUGGAACUGAGACACGGUCCAGACUCCUACGGGAGGCAGCAGUGGGGAAUAUUGCACAAUGGGCGCAAGCCUGAUGCAGCCAUGCCGCGUGUAUGAAGAAGGCCUUCGGGUUGUAAAGUACUUUCAGCGGGGAGGAAGGGAGUAAAGUUAAUACCUUUGCUCAUUGACGUUACCCGAAGAAGAAGCACCGGCUAACUCCGUG